AAUAAUCGGACUAUUCGUUGAUGAUGG
Molecule: non-coding RNA, 27 nt
Filed under: Bombyx mori (domestic silkworm)
Lineage: Eukaryota; Metazoa; Arthropoda; Insecta; Lepidoptera; Bombycidae
Source: RNAcentral